UUAUUUACAAAAAAAGAUAAAAUAAGAAUAUAUCAUAAUUGCUCAGGGAUCAAAUCACAGGUUUCGGGCUUGACCACACUUAUCAACACUGAUCUACUACUGAAUGAUCUAGACGAUUGCCAAUAUAUUUGUCCACCUAAACUCAUCUCCCUAGACCUUUUCCAUAUAACUGCCUGUAACAAAUUUUAUCAUGUUUUCAUUUCUUAACAAUGAACACCCAAACAAAUACUAAUCAAAUCCCGGAGAUAUAAACAGCACACUCUAUCAUGCAAGUAGCUUCCCUACCACAUAUUUCACAAGUCCAAUCCAGAUCUCUGAAAUCUUAACUGGGAAUAGGUUGAGAAGAGAACAGAAUAGAUCUUAAGCAGAGAUGGUUUCUUGGGUUUCUUUUGGGCACUUGAGGGCCUCUUUCGGGUGUUUAAUUGAUCUACAGCGCGACAACGUACAGCUAGGUCAGCAUGUAUCUGGAUGCAGCAUAAGCUAACGUUGCCUAGCACCUCCAGGUCAGCAUGUAUCUGGAUGCAGCAGAGGAGAUACACGACUUUUUCAGAGAAGAUUUCAGAGUCAGACCAAAAUUGUGUGUAUCGGGAUAACAUACAGACAUUCAAAUAGACAUGAGCUUAUUCCAAGUGAUUUUCUUUCCUGAGGUCAUGUACUAAUUUAGUUCUAAACAGAAACAGCCAACGUUUCCAGUCUUUAAGGAUAGAGCCUACCAACACAUCAUCCUAGAGUCAAACCAUUUCGAUACUGGUCUUACAUGAGUCAGCCCUCUACCAUGAUGUGAAGAUUCAUUUCAUUUCCCAUGUCAUGCAAUGCUUCUUUUUGUAUUUUUUUUAAUGAUUUUGUAUUUUUCAUAAUUUUCUCCCCCUAAAUUUGAGAAUAAAUAAAAACUACCUAAGAAUAGAAAACUUUAUGAACAAAUUUAC
This 926-nucleotide long non-coding RNA is filed under the name Helianthus annuus (common sunflower). RNAcentral's name for it is "hypothetical non coding rna". Lineage: Eukaryota; Viridiplantae; Streptophyta; Magnoliopsida; Asterales; Asteraceae. The record is from RNAcentral.